This 497-nucleotide ribosomal RNA is filed under the name uncultured bacterium. Its description in RNAcentral is "partial 16S ribosomal RNA". It matches the Rfam family "Bacterial small subunit ribosomal RNA", at positions 28 to 507 of the family's 1533-position model. The record is from RNAcentral.
GAUGAACGCUGGCGGCGUGCCUAAUACAUGCAAGUCGAGCGAACGGACGAGAAGCUUGCUUCUCUGAUGUUAGCGGCGGACGGGUGAGUAACACGUGGAUAACCUACCUAUAAGACUGGGAUAACUUCGGGAAACCGGAGCUAAUACCGGAUAAUAUUUUGAACCGCAUUGUUCAAAAGUGAAAGACGGUCUUGCUGUCACUUAUAGAUGGAUCCGCGCUGCAUUAGCUAGUUGGUAAGGUAACGGCUUACCAAGGCAACGAUGCGUAGCCGACCUGAGAGGGUGAUAGGCCACACUGGAAGUGGGCCACGGUCCAGACUACUAAGGGAGGCAGCAGUAGGGAAUCUUCCGCAAUGGGCGAAAGCAUGACGGAGCAACGCCGCGUGAGUGAUGAAGGUCUUCGGAUCGUAAAAAUCUGUUAUUAGGGAAGAACAGAUGUGGAAGUAACUGUGCAGAUAGUGACGGUACCUAGUCAGAAAGCAACGGCUAACUACGUG